AGACAAAAACAGGACUCGCAUAAAGCUUUAGAUAAUACCAAUCUUGUUUGCAAUAUCCAGGGCAUCAUAAUCUGGAGUCAGUCGGACAUAAGCCUUCUUUGUUCCAUCAGGCCUGAUCAGGGUGUUCACUUUUUUUGUCUGAAUAUCAUACAUCUUCUUCACAGCAGCUUUAAUCUUCUUCUUGUCAGCUCGGAUGUCAACAAUGAAAACAAGAGUGUUGUUGUCUUCAAUCUUUUUCAUGGCAGACUCAGUGGUCAGUGGAUACUUGAGGAUCUGGUAGUGAUCUAGCUUGUUCCUUGGAGGGGCACUGAUUCUGGGGUACUUGGGGUUUCUAUCCUUCUUCAGGGUCUUGGGACGAUGAAAGGUCACCGAUGUGCGGAUCUUCUUGGCCUUCUUUUGCAGGGUUGAAGCACCAGAUUUCACAGCCUUAGCAACUUUCAAUGCUUGUGCUUUACCAUCAGGCUUCUUGGCAACUUUCGCGGGAGGGGCCAUUUUCUCAAGUGUCAAUUAGCUCCAAUUCGUCCUUAGGCUGCAACGAGCUCCGGUGGCAGCAACGGCGACGGCGGCAAAA
This 571-nucleotide unclassified non-coding RNA is filed under the name Hevea brasiliensis (rubber tree). Lineage: Eukaryota; Viridiplantae; Streptophyta; Magnoliopsida; Malpighiales; Euphorbiaceae. The record is from RNAcentral.